Triticum urartu is the source of this 559-nucleotide non-coding RNA. Lineage: Eukaryota; Viridiplantae; Streptophyta; Magnoliopsida; Poales; Poaceae. The record is from RefSeq and is a predicted model, not a curated record.
CAAAAAUUCCCUAAAAAAACCUUAUUACUAAAAAAACAAUCCAAAACCACUUUCCCUUUCCCUUGUCCCUGCCCACCCCACGCCGCGUUGCCGUCUCCGCCGCACCGCCGCCGUCCCGCUCCUUCUCCUCCGCCGGAACCCACCGGAGCACGCCUCGAAGAGGAGCAAAUCUUUGUGCGCCCUCUGCCGGAUCUGUAUCGGCUCCCGCGACUCCUCCCUCUGUCGCAGCGCCGAGUUGCCGGAGCAGAUGGUGGGAUUCGGUAGCCUUGCUCCCAAGACCAAGAACCUGGUGGUGGGCGGUGGGUUGACGGGGUUCGUCUUUGGGGUGUACUAUUACACCAUGAGAGCAGUCGGCAGCACUGAUGAGCUGCAGGUCGCCAUCGACAAGUUCGAAGACCUGAAGAAGAAGGACGCCGACACCAACCCUGCCGCACACCCCUCCACCCCAGGCUCAUCGUAGGAAAAAAACAUGAACUUAAAUUUUGUUUACCUGUACCAAGCUUGUAAACUAGUUACCUCACAACUAGAGCCCAGAACCAUGGCUUGGUUUCUUUGAUGA